This 492-nucleotide ribosomal RNA is filed under the name uncultured bacterium. RNAcentral's name for it is "partial 16S ribosomal RNA". It matches the Rfam family "Bacterial small subunit ribosomal RNA", at positions 29 to 507 of the family's 1533-position model. The record is from RNAcentral.
AGUGAACGCUGGCGGCAGGCCUAACACAUGCAAGUCGAACGGCCGCACAGUAAGCGCUUGCCCCUACUGGUGGCGAGUGGCGGAUGGGUGAGGCAUACAUAAGAAUCUUCUUUUUCGUGGAGGAUAUCGUAGAGCCAUAUCCGCUACUACCGAAUAUGAUCUACGGCAGAAAGCAAGGGAUCUUCGCAGCUUUCGCGACACUUUGAGAUGGUGCCGGACUAGAUAGUUGGCGUGGUAAAGGCCCACCAAGGCAACGCAACGUAGCAGGGCUGAGAGGAUGAUCGGCCACACUGGAACUGAGACACGGUCCAGACUCCUACGGGAGGCAGCAGUGGGGAAUAUUGGGCAAUGGGCGCAAGCCUGAUGCAGCCAUGCCGCGUGAGUGAAGAAGGCCUUCGGAUUGUAAAGCCCUUUUGUUGGGAAAGAAAAUCUGCAGGUUAAUACGCCGCUGUUCUGACGGUACCCAAAGAGUAAGCACCGGCUAACUUCGUG